UCCAAGGCACAUGUGUGCCUUAACCCACCCUAUAGCUUAACACUAGAAAAGUGGGCUCAGCCUAUCCGGAGAGCCUUUGGAUGGAGUCUGAGAGGCAGGACUCCUAAUUCUGCUGAUGACACUAUUUUUGACUCUUUUUCUGCACCCUUCGCAAUCCUGCCUCUGUCUCACCCCAUCCAUUAAACUGUGCCUUACAGGACAGAGUACAAGGUCUUGAGUACAUACCAGCGAGGACACCCAAAUAGAAGACAUAUUUCAUGGUGAUCCAGCUCUUCCCCCUGUGAGAUGUAGAAGAAAAUCAGCAGAGUGUGGAGCGGUUGGCUUAGUUGUCUUCUCAGGAACACCUGGUAGACUCAGUGGCUAUGGUUAGAUACGGAGGCACUCCAUGGGAUUGGAAAGCAGCUCUGGGCAUAAACAGGGGAGGGAGAUGGCUUCAGAGAGACAGAUGAAAGCCCUCUGUUCCAGGGAAGGUGGAGGACUGUGCCUCUGUUGGGGCAUUUCAGGGAAGGAAACUCCUGGAUUCAGCUCCUUCUAUCUGCUGCCCCUAAAAACACAUCUGUUUGAAGGUAGUUCAGUUGUCUGUGGAAAUGGCAGCUCUAGGCUCAGGACUUAUCUUCCCCACAGAGUUUCUGAGACCAGGGCUAUGAGGGACAAUAUUCUUUACCUUAGCUCAGGGAGUAAGUGUCCUGAGGUUUGCUCUGAACCUCCUAAUAGUUACUUAUACUUUCCCCAGCCCCUCCCAUCUUUGUUACACUAGCUUCAUAUGUCCCUCUGAUCACUGUUUCAUCACUCAGUCAUCAUCACCAACUUGGUGUUUUUUGUCCUGAGCAACAGCAUUGAGCCAAGAAAAUAUGGAAAUGAAAAGCAUUCAUAGAACAGUUAUCUUGAUAGUUGGGGAAUUGUUUACAGUCUAGAUGACAUUAGGCCUGGUGACAAUUCAGAAGGCAGUACCUCUAAUACUUAAAGACUUAGACCAAUAUUAGACUACCAAAGUCAUCCUUGGAUAAUUGGGAGCAUAGUCUAACAAGAAAAUGAGCGGUAACACUAAUAGCUGAUAUCCUCUAAGCAUUUACUGAAUCCUAGGCACUGAGCUAAGAUCUUUACGGACUUGUCAGUAGAGAUUUUAUAUCAGGUUAGUCUGAGAUGUAAAAUUCACUACACUUUGUAUCACUCUAACCCUUUAAAGUUUCUUAAACCCAUAAUCUCUUUCCAAAUGUCACAACAACCCUAGAAAGAAGAGAUAGGGCUGGGUCUGGUAUCUAUUUCUGGUCUGUGGGUGGCAGAACUGAAGCAGAGAGAAUCUAAGUAGUUUUCCCAAAGUCACAUGUCGUGGACAAUGAGAAAUAGGCCUUGUCACUGGUGUAGGGUUGCAGGUCCCCCACCAGGAUACUUAAGGGUGUAUGACCACUGCUUGAACCUUAAUGGCUAAGUAGUGAGUCAAGGACACGGUGCCCAGCCAAGAAGCAGGUAUCCUUGAUGGCCAAGUGGUGAGUCAACGCCAUGGUGUCCAGCUGAGGAGCAGGUGUCCUUGAGUACCCAAACAUCCCAGAGAAUACCUGAGAACCUAUCAAGGAAAACAGUCCCAUCAUGCACACACAGUAGGCAAAGAGCCAGAAAAUUAGCUUAAAAGCAGCUUAGAGAUGGAAAGCAGGGCAGGUCUCUAAAGGUGUCCUCUGCUAUCUAGGAGUGUCUCAUAUGUAAGUCCUAAUAAACUUAUCCACUGGCCAAGCUGGACUUGUCUGAGUCAUUCUUUGGUCUCUUGGCUCCCUCCUAGUUUGGGGGAAAGGUUUUUUUAAAAAUAUGAUUCUGGAUUUUUCUUGUUACAAUUGGCAUCACAAAUGGGGUCAGAGAGACCAAACUUCGAGCCAGGAAUGAGUGUCUAUGGUGGGGAAUCCCUGGGCAGUCGGCAAUGUCCAUGUGGAGUGGAGUUGCCCAACUGCACAACUUUUGUGGGCCACUGCAUGAGUACAGGGAUGCUUGGAAAACAUGGGCAAGGACUGAAUACCUAUUGCCAAGAAGCCAAGAUAUUAAAGUAUGAUAAUGAUAGUAAAUGUGGUGUUAUUGCAAUAAGGCUGGCUAAUCACAAAUCAUUAGAGCAGGAAAGGGAGAAAGGGUAGAAACUCCAGCAGAAGCUAAAAGGCAUGGUUUUCUAAUCCUCCAGCUGGUUACAUAUUAUGGCCCUUUCUUGUGUACAUUUUAAAACUGACGGGCAAAUUACAACAAGAAAAAUUCAGAGCUCAAAUGUUUAAUCUACAACUAUAGAGUUAAGUAGAGUCUUCUAAAGCUCUCUAUUUCUCUUUCCUUUUCUGCCUGCUUUGAAUCUACUGUUAAUAAGUUACUGGUAUUGAGAUAAAACUCACUAAUUCAAGGUCAAUUUGAGAUUUUUUUUUUCCUCAUAUGGUUCAGCCAGUUCUAGCUAAAAUGUAAAGAAUUAAACUCAUUUGGAACUGAAAAAAAAUGGAUAAAGGAGGUUUUUAAAAAUCAAACUGCCAUAGAAACUGCUUUACCCAAAUUAUUGAUCCACUGCUUUCCUUGGGUUACCUAUUGGGGCAAAUAAAGUUUAGCCAUGUGAACAGGUCCCAAUUUUAUCAAAAAUAAUCUGGAUCCAGCUGUCUUUUAUAUAGUAAUGAGUUUGUGAAGCUAGAAUUCCAAAAGCUAUUGGUAAAAGCUAUCGGAUCUUGCAUGUAUAUGUAUAAACAUGUUUAAAUGUGUUAUGUGUAUGUGCAUGUAUUAUGCUAUGUGUUAUAUCUAGCAUGGUACCGAAUAGCUUAUAAGUAAAUACGUACUCAUAAAUUAAAUAAGUCCAGAUGCUCUUCAGGUUCACGUGA
This 2828-nucleotide long non-coding RNA is filed under the name Homo sapiens (human). RNAcentral's name for it is "HSALNT0129971". The record is from RNAcentral. Lineage: Eukaryota; Metazoa; Chordata; Mammalia; Primates; Hominidae.